This is a non-coding RNA of Meleagris gallopavo (turkey), 1779 nucleotides long. NCBI's taxonomy places the organism in Eukaryota, Metazoa, Chordata, Aves, Galliformes, Phasianidae. The record is from RefSeq and is a predicted model, not a curated record.
ACACAGUACAAAGUUCCAUAUAAACAUGAGAAAGAACUCAACUGCCAAUUGAGUUGGCCUUGCUUAGUCGAAGCUCUUAUGUACUGUAAAAGGAGACAGAGUCCCUGUUGUCCAUAUGAAAAACGUGCUGGAUAAGACAUCCUGUGUUAUUAGUGCCUUGAGCACUUGGGCAAGACUAUCAGUGGAAUGGCUUUUGCACUUUUUCUCCUCCUCGUCCCACUGAAGGGGUGACUGAACAAAUGGCUAUGUGGCCAUAUUAACCUGCUGCCUGCCAGGUUAAACUGCAAUAAAAGGAGCUCCUCCCAUUGAGUCAAGAAGUUUGGACAGGACCUUAAAAUCCUUGAACCACAGAGUGCUCUGGCAGCUAAGGAUGGCAGUGACAGUCCUCACUCUUGUGUAUGGAAAAGCCUGCAGGGAGAACCUGUGUUCUGCCACUAUUGUAAGUACAAGGCAUCUGAACUGAGGUUAGAAUUUCAGAUAAUUGGGUUCAGUUCCUGUCAUUACCACUUAUUUCCUCUGUGAGCUUGGCAGGCAUGCUUGUUCUGAGAAGAAAAGGUGCUAACAGCGUUUGCUGUCUUGACAGGAGAGGGUUGAAAAAAAUAAUCACUUAAAAAGAUAGAGGUAUUCUGGCCUGGAUUUGAUCUGAGAAAGGCUGCAAUCUGCUCUACCAGUCCCCACUUCACCUGCAGUUAUCUCUGGCUAUGGUGACAGCUGUGAUAUCUCUGGCUACAAGAGCUCUUUGAUGUCAUGAGAUCUGAGAGCAUCUGAGGGGACUUUUGACUUUGCUAUCUGAAGCUCCAAGAGCAGCCAUUAGGUGUGGCAAGGCAGGACAGAAAAAAAUAAAACCAAUAAGAUCUAUGAAAACUGUCUACACAUAGAACCAACCCAUCCUCUCCUCCCCCCGACCCCCCCCCCAAGAAAAACCAAACCAAAACAAAACAAAAAAAACCCCUCCAAAUAAUUGCAAAAAAAGCACCGUCAUCUUGGAAGAUGCAAUGCCAGCAAUCAAAGUAUUUGUCACAGCCACAUUGCUUUAUGGAAGAGGCUUCAUCUCUCACAGUAUUCAUUUGAUUUCUUCCACUUUACUGAAAUCCUUCAAGCGGAAUGAGGAAAAGGCAUUAUAUUCUUACCAGGAGGCAUCCACAUCCUCUCAGUGGAGGUGAACUCCCAGAAUAAAAGACUUUCCAGAAUAAGUGUUUCUUUCCAGAUGAACUCAAAAACACCAAGAACAAUUGUAAAAUAUCAAGUAAAAAGGACAGACUUUUCUAGAGAAACAAACUGGAAGUAAUUGAAAAAAGGAGUACGUUAGUGAUCAGAAGAGACUGAAAUCUGUCGGUACGAAUAUAUAUAUGUCAAAGAAUUCAUAAAAUCAUUUAGGUAUCCUAAGGUAUGAAAGUACAGACUUCCUGGUUACAGUAUGAGCUUUCCUUGUAUUUUGAUUUCUGAGAACAGUGUUUCCAUUCAAGCCUAAUAUGAUAGUAUAGCUUCCUACGCAUGUCAGAAAUAACCCAAGAAUAAACUAUUGGUAGAAUAUGAAAGAAUAUGUAAAUGUUUGCUUGUUUGUUUGUUUGUUUUAAAAAAGAGAGAAAAAAUGUUCUGUUGCAGAUACAUUGAACAUAUGUAUCUGUAUAUCUGUGUAUGCUUAUUCUGAGAUACUGUAAUAAUGAAGCCUGGGAGGGGACGGAUAGGAUAGUGAGGUCAUGUCAUUCUUCUGUAAUUCUUUCAUUUUUUGUCUCCUUCACCUGUUAUAAAAGGCAGAAAAAUAUAUUUCCCAUAACU